AUGCAGCUGGUACGGUCUAGCAAGACUGCGAUUAACAUUAACGGGGAGGUGGGGCCUUCCUUUGUGUCCUCUGCGGGUGUGAAGCAAGAGGACCCGAUAUCCCCCCUUCUCUUCAACCUUGCCGUGGACGCGCUGGCGGGUAUCCUGGACAAAGCUAGGCGGGCCGGCCACCUCUCUGGAGUUGUCGGUCACCUCAUUCUAGGAGGGGGGUCACACCUCCAGUACACCAAUGACACCAUGAUUAUGGUGGAAGGAUCCACCCUUGACAUAGUUAACCUUAAGUUCCUACUCCUCUGCUUUGAGGCUAUGUCGGGACUCAAGGUUAACUUUGACAAGAGCGAGGUCAUCGUCCUGGGCUACCCUGCAGAGGACCAAUAG
RNAcentral lists this ribosomal RNA (378 nucleotides) under Triticum aestivum (bread wheat). RNAcentral's name for it is "partial small subunit ribosomal RNA". The record is from RNAcentral. Lineage: Eukaryota; Viridiplantae; Streptophyta; Magnoliopsida; Poales; Poaceae.